RNAcentral lists this ribosomal RNA (433 nucleotides) under uncultured bacterium. RNAcentral's name for it is "partial 16S ribosomal RNA". It matches the Rfam family "Bacterial small subunit ribosomal RNA", at positions 29 to 507 of the family's 1533-position model. The record is from RNAcentral.
AACGAACGCUGGCGGCAUGCCUAACACAUGCAAGUCGAACGAGACCUUCGGGUCUAGUGGCGCACGGGUGCGUAACGCGUGGGAACCUGCCCUUAGGUUCGGAAUAACUCCCCGAAAGGGGUGCUAAUACCGGAUAAUGUCUUCGGACCAAAGAUUUAUCGCCUUUGGAUGGGCCCGCGUUGGAUUAGCUAGUUGGUAGGGGAAAAGCCUACCGAGGCGACGAUCCAUAGCUGGUCUGAGAGGAUGAUCAGCCAAACUGGGACUGAGACACGGCCCAGACUCCUACGGGAGGCAGCAGUGGGGAAUAUUGGACAAUGGGCGAAAGACUGAUCCAGCAAUGCCGGGUGAGUGAUGAAGGCCUUAGGGUUGUAAAGCUCUUUUACCCGGGAUGAUAAUGACAGUACCGGGAGAAUAAGCUCCGGCUAACUCCGUG